This is a long non-coding RNA of Passer domesticus (house sparrow), 3834 nucleotides long. RefSeq lists it as uncharacterized. Lineage: Eukaryota; Metazoa; Chordata; Aves; Passeriformes; Passeridae. The record is from RefSeq and is a predicted model, not a curated record. The transcript is spliced from 4 exons.
GCAGCCCUGGCACGAGCAGGAGAAGAGCUGGGCAGUGCUGAGCUCUGCAGAGCUCAGCAGCCCCUCAACCCAGGCACAGCUCCAUGCAAAUGCAGGCUAGCCCCCUGACCAGGCUCUGUGCAGCUGGGGAGGGUUAUUCUGGAUGUAUAAAAACUAUAAUAUAAAACUAUAAUACCUCAGGGGGGAAAACUGCCACCCACUUGUCCUCAAAUCCCAGCCUCAGUGGGGCUGCUGGACCUCAGGGGAGUUAUGCAUUUUCUGUCUUCAUGUUCCUCUGUCCCUUGUCCUUGAUGGUGCUCCUGACAGCCCUGGAAUGGUUUUAUUGUGAUAUCUGUGCUCAGAAUUCCUUUGCUCACUUGCAGCAGGUCUGUGUGAGCAAAGAACUGUGGAGCUGUGCUCCAGGACAGGCUGGCACUGCUGGUGCCAGGAGCUGUGUUGGUUCUGCUUCCCCCACACGUGACCCACAGAGCUGAAAGGAAAUGCUCAGGGCGAGGAUUAAAUUUAGAUUUUUAUCCAAGUGAAAACUUUGUCAUCUCAGCAGAUGUUAUGUGCUCCAAAGCAUUAAAAUCGCUGUUACUCGGAGGAGAGAAGAGGAAAAUGGAUCUUUUAAUCUCUGUUCAGAGCCAGCAAUACGCUUUGUCUUCAGUUAAUAUCAGGCUAACUUUCCAGGCAAAAGCAAAACCAAGUUGAAUUUGGCUAAAAGUUGACCUCAAAAGUAUGGACUGCCUUAAAGUUUGAACUCUUUUGUGUUGUUUGACAAAUUAUUUUUAACGAGUAAUUUUGGUAUUUUUAUAGCAAGAUUUCUCAUUUCAGAAGUGUGUAUAUUUUGAUAGUACUGCAUUUUUCCUUUUAAUUUCAGUGGCGUUUAAAAAUUAAUGUUUUUUAAAAAUAUACUUCUGCUUAAUAUCUUUCCAGUUGUUUUCCAAGUUGUUUAUCUCCACUCUCCAGAGAACUCAGUGGUUCUGAACUGGUAUGAGUUGCUGAAGAUUAGAUUGCUCAGUGUAAAAAAUUCUGGAGCUCUCUGGGGUGCUUCAGCCAAAAUGUGAUCAACACUUAAAAAUGCUUAAAGACCAACCACCCUGGAACUUCUUGGGAUGAUGCUCUGACACUGUCUGACUCUGCACUGAUAGGUCUCAUCACCCACCACGAACCCUGACCCUGCAGUCAUGGACUGUGUAUGAAAUGGAGAGAAAAAAACCCAGAGAAUGUAGGGCUGCAAUUCAUAAUAACUUCCAAAAUAAGUUAAAGUCCCAGAGCAACCCAUUUAAUGAGGAACUGAGCUGAAAUACACUACAGUGGAAUUGCUGACGUUCUGAUGUUGUUCCCACAGAGCCCAUUAAACCUCUUUAUGUAACAUUGCUGCAGCCACACGUUGCUGAAGAUUUCCUCAUUGUGCAUUUUGCUCGAUGGUUUCACGGAUUUUAAUAAUUCUUCUUUUUGUACUUUCAAUUUAAAAAAGGGAAAAUCACAGUUCAACAACUUAAUAAGGGGCAAGUGAAAUGUCUCAUUUCUUUUGAAGGCAAAUUCUGGUGUUUCGGGUUUUAGCAGCGCAAUUCCACCGCAGAAAAUAAAAAGCAGUGUUUGUUGCCAGCUCUGAGAAGCUGAGCAAUAAGAAAACUGUCAAAAGGAAAACAUUCAGCACAGCAUUCCCCAGCAAACCUAUGAAAGUUGCCACAGCCUGUUUAUUGAAAGGAACGGCUUUAGCUUUGCACUGUUGCAUGGGGAAGUGGUGGCCAUGGCUCUUUGGGACCAGAGAUUUUGAAUGGGAAAUCGAAGGCCGUGCAUCUUCAGCAGGGAUUUUGGAUGGAAAACUGAUGGCUGUGGCUCUUUGGGUGGGAUUUUGAAAGGCACAAUUACACCAGGCUGGAAUUAGUGUGUGCUGCUCCCCAAAAGGCUGGAGGGGGAGUGGCUGCUGUGUGGGUGCUCUGCUGCCUUUGAGCACCCCAAUAACACGUCUGUGCUGCUGCUGGAGGUGGGGACUGGUGCACAGUUUCUUAAUCACUCUCUGACAAACACUGUUAAGCCUCAUUAAUGCAAAUUACUAGAUGAUCUAUUUUUGUAGAGUCUCAGUCCCAUCACUUGAACUUGCACUACACAGCAACUUUAGAAAAAUCAAUUUUUAGUCCUUACUAGAAAUUGAUUUAUGGCUUUUUCUGCUUGGAGCUGCUGGGACCUCGAGCCCUGAUCAACCAGGCUGCACGUUCCCCUGCGUGCCCCUGUGGGGUAGAAAGGGAACACUGACAUGGGGGAAGAGUGUCUAAAAGAAAAAUUAGCCUUGAGAGUUCUUUCUGAAAGGGUGUGUAAAAUCUUACAGAAUCACGGGGUUGGAAAAGCUCUCUAAGGCUAUCGAGUUCCCCCAGCACAGCCAAGGCCACCAUUGACCCAUGUUCCCAAGUGCCACAUCCACAUGGAUUUUAAUUCCCCACAGGGAUGGGCACUCCACCACUGCCCUGGGCAGCCCUUUGGAUGGAGAAAAGUUUCCAAAUAUCCAGAUGUGCAAAAAGAAGUGCUGUGUUUCCUUUGGAGGGAUGUGCUGAUGAAUUACCAUCACAGGCAGUGGAGAGGGACAGGUUUCCUUUGAACCAGGUGAUGUGGGCGGCCUUCAGAAUCACUGAAAAUAACAGAACAACUUGAAAACAAGAAGAAAUACCUUGAACUGUGCUUAUUCUCUUACCCUGUGCCACCAUGAAGCUUUUUAACAUGUUCCCAAAACUGGGCUGGCAGCAGACGAGUCUGUCAGUGAACAUGCAGAGGUAGAAUCACAGAAUCCUGGAAAAGACCUUUGAGACAUCAAAUCCAACUAUCAACACAUAUUUACCACGAAACCAUGUCCUCAAGUGACAUAGCCACAUGUUUUUUGAACACUUCCCAAGAUGGAGACUCUACCAAUGCCCUGGGCAGCCUGUGCCAAUGUUUUAUGACCCUUUCUGUGAAAAAAAAUGUUGUCUAAUAUCUCAUCUAAACCCCUCCUGGCACAGCUUGGAGCCAUUUCCUCCUGUGCCUGCAGCCCAUGCUCUGCUGAAGCAUUACUGGCUGGGGGUGAUUGUCCCCUGGGAUUCCUUGAUAAAUAAGGAAAAACCCCUGGGGUUUUCCUCUCUGGGUGGCUGAGGUGGAAGGAGGAUUUUCCUGGUCAUGCUCUGCCUGCUCCAAGGAUCAGUUCACACCUGACCCGGUUCUGCCUUGCUGUGGUUCCACUGAGUGCAGGAAUGGGAUUCUGAGGGAGGAAAUAUCAAAAAAUUAGAAGUUAAGGCUUGGUUGUGCCUGUUGCACCCUCUUUGAGGACCUUGAAGCAAGACACAGACACUCCAGACUGUUUCCUCUUCCUACUCCGCAUGUUCCUUGUUUCCCAAAGGCAGUGGGUGAGCAUGUGCAGGAUGUGGCAGCACAUGCAGUAAUUUCUCUUAGGCUGGAGUUUCAUUAUUAAGGCUUUCAGUGCAUACCAACAUCUCCCCAUUGUUACUGGUCCCCUCUGGAGUAAGAGGGAGGCUCUCCCAGGAGGAGGCAGCAGCAGCUGCAGAGCUGUGGAGUCUGUCAGCAAGUGGCAGAGGGGACCUGAGACAUGGACAGGAGCAGUCAUUGCCUGCUGUGCCUUCCCAGUUUGAAGACUUUCCCACUGGUCAGAACUGGAAGAUCUAACCUAGCACUCCACAUCCUGCUAAUCUGUGCAGACCCCCCAAAAAUCUGGACUUUCCCUGAGGGUAGACAAUUGCAGCAUCACUCACAAGAUGUGAUUUGGGAACUUUCCAGGAGAAAUAAGAAUUUUUCAUCGUGGUGAUAUGCAGCGUGACCUUCAACUCUGAUCACCCUAAAAUAAAGUUUGUCUGAACUUUCCCA